Molecule: ribosomal RNA, 207 nt
Filed under: uncultured bacterium
Lineage: Bacteria
Description: partial 16S ribosomal RNA
Rfam family: Bacterial small subunit ribosomal RNA
Source: RNAcentral
CACGUAGGCGGAUAUUUAAGUCAGGGGUGAAAUCCCAGAGCUCAACUCUGGAACUGCCUUUGAUACUGGGUAUCUUGAGUAUGGAAGAGGUAAGUGGAAUUCCGAGUGUAGAGGUGAAAUUCGUAGAUAUUCGGAGGAACACCAGUGGCGAAGGCGGCUUACUGGUCCAUUACUGACGCUGAGGUGCGAAAGCGUGGGGAGUAAACA